Molecule: microRNA precursor, 125 nt
Organism: Brassica oleracea var. oleracea
Lineage: Eukaryota; Viridiplantae; Streptophyta; Magnoliopsida; Brassicales; Brassicaceae
Rfam family: MIR9563 microRNA precursor family
Source: Rfam
GGAAUAUAAGAAACCGUUUCUUAACUUUUAACUAAAAAAACUAAGAAUCGGUUUUUAAAUAAGAUAUUUAAAAGUCGGGUCUUAGUUUUUUUAGUUAAAAGUUAAGAGACGGUUUCUUAUAUUCU